AGAGUUUGAUCAUGGCUCAGAGUGAACGCUGGCGGCAGGCCUAACACAUGCAAGUCGAGCGGCAGCGCGUCCGACCACCCUCGGGUGGUCGGAUGGCGGCGAGCGGCGGACGGGUGAGGAAUGCAUCGGAAUCUGCCUCGUUGUGGGGGAUAACGUAGGGAAACUUACGCUAAUACCGCAUACGACCUACGGGUGAAAGUGGGGGACCUUCGGGCCUCACGCGAUGAGAUGAGCCGAUGCCGGAUUAGCUAGUUGGCGGGGUAAAGGCCCACCAAGGCGACGAUCCGUAGCUGGUCUGAGAGGAUGAUCAGCCACACUGGAACUGAGACACGGUCCAGACUCCUACGGGAGGCAGCAGUGGGGAAUAUUGGACAAUGGGGGCAACCCUGAUCCAGCCAUGCCGCGUGUGUGAAGAAGGCCUUCGGGUUGUAAAGCACUUUUGUUGGGGAAGAAACCGGCCGGGUUAAUACCCUGGUUGAAUGACGGUACCCAAAGAAUAAGCACCGGCUAACUUCGUGCCAGCAGCCGCGGUAAUACGAAGGGUGCAAGCGUUACUCGGAAUUACUGGGCGUAAAGCGUGCGUAGGCGGUUUGUUAAGUCUGCUGUG
RNAcentral lists this ribosomal RNA (607 nucleotides) under uncultured bacterium. RNAcentral's name for it is "bacterial SSU rRNA". It matches the Rfam family "Bacterial small subunit ribosomal RNA", at positions 8 to 596 of the family's 1533-position model. The record is from RNAcentral.